RNAcentral lists this transfer RNA (87 nucleotides) under Muribaculaceae bacterium. RNAcentral's name for it is "tRNA-Leu". It matches the Rfam family "tRNA". From Rfam's summary of the family: Transfer RNA (tRNA) molecules are approximately 80 nucleotides in length. Their secondary structure includes four short double-helical elements and three loops (D, anti-codon, and T loops). The record is from RNAcentral. Lineage: Bacteria; Pseudomonadati; Bacteroidota; Bacteroidia; Bacteroidales; Muribaculaceae.
GCGGACGUGGUGGAACUGGCAGACACGCGAGCCUCAGAAGCUCGUGGCCUCGCGGCCGUGAGAGUUCGAGCCUCUCCGUCCGCACCA